AUACGUAGGGGGCGAGCGUUGUCCGGAAUGGUUGGGCGUAAAGGGCGCGUAGGCGGCGCGGUAAGUCUGGAGUGAAAGUCCUGCUUUCAAGGUGGGAAUUGCUUUGGAUACUGCCGCGCUUGAGUGCAGGAGAGGUUAUCGGAAUUCCCGGUGUAGCGGUGAAAUGCGUAGAGAUCGGGAGGAACACCAGUGGCGAAGGCGGGUAACUGGACUGCAACUGACGCUGAGGCGCGAAAGUGUGGGGAGCAAACAGGAUUAGAUACCCUGGUAGCCCACACUGUAAACGAUGAAUGCUAGGUGUAAGAGGUAUCGACCCCUUUUGUGCCGGAGUCAACACAAUAAGCAUUCCGCCUGGGGAGUACGGCCGCAAGGUUGAAACUCAAAGGAAUUGACGGGG
This 397-nucleotide ribosomal RNA is filed under the name uncultured bacterium. RNAcentral describes it as "partial 16S ribosomal RNA". It matches the Rfam family "Bacterial small subunit ribosomal RNA", at positions 523 to 918 of the family's 1533-position model. The record is from RNAcentral.